This is a long non-coding RNA of Macaca mulatta (Rhesus monkey), 4543 nucleotides long. NCBI's taxonomy places the organism in Eukaryota, Metazoa, Chordata, Mammalia, Primates, Cercopithecidae. The record is from Ensembl.
AUGCUCUUCCUCCUGACUGCUUUGUGCAUGCCGCAUCUCCUGCUGGAUGUUCUCUGCCCACUGCUUGCACCCCUUAUGCCAAUUCCGGACCCGCAGCUUCUUGGAUCACACCUCUCAUUCAAACCACCUAGUCCUUCUGCAGAGUCAAAGCCUGCGUUUCUACAAGGAGGUGGUAAGAAACAGAGUAAAAUUAGGUAUGAGCUGAUAUACCCGGGCAAAGAAAACCAAAAGCACAAAUAAAAGAGAGAGAUCAUCUAACCAAAUAUUGAUUCCAAGGUUGAACAGUAUUAUACUUUUCACUUCUCCUUAAUAAUUUUAUUUUGGUCAUUUUGGUGUAAACCCAGCACCAAGCACCUCACUGUGGAAAGGAGGAGUACAGUUUGUAACAAAACGGCAUGGCUGUCAGCCAGUAAAACAUAUCAUGGAAUCUUAGGGAAUGUAAAGGGCUCAGGUGAAAUAUUCCAACCCAUACUGAAUCUCCAUGCUGGUAGAGAUUAAGCAGUGGCCUAACCAGUCUGUUCACUGUGUCUCCAUUUCUCCUCACCUGGUCCACAGAGCACUCUCCUAAUCAGUUAUAGUGUCUCCAUACAUUUCAGAAUUCAUGGAACCACAGAAUGUGGCCUUAUUUGGAAAUAGGGUUGCUACAAAUGUAGUCAAGGUAAGGACUGAGAUGAGAUAAUCCUGGGUUAGGAUGGGCCCUAAAUCCAAUCAGAAUUUCCCGUAGGAGACAGAAAAGGUUACAGACUGUGAAGAAGGCUAUGGGCAGACAGAGGCAGAGAUUGAUGAUGGUGCCACCAGCCGAGGAACACCAGGAGCCAUGAGAAGCUGGAAUAAGCAAAAACACUUUCCUAAUUCCCAGUGAUUUCCUUGGUCCCAUAAUCCCCUUCCUCACUCCCAGUUUACGUUAAUAUGAGAUCAGAGUUUCUAUUGCAGGAAGGAUUUAGCCAUUUGGUUGGAAGGGGAACUUUGGGUGCUUGUUUGAAACUAUGCAGACGUACUGUUUGUACUGUGGUGUCAGAGGCAGGCGAGAGGAUAGGGAGCUCUAGUCACUACUACUCCAAGCACUCCACAGCCUUGCCACAGGGGGUGCUAUUUUUCAGAGUAAAUAAUGGGUGGGAUUUUUCAGGGUAAUUAGCCCUUUACACAAAAAAGACAGUACCUCAUUACCUAUUUCUUCUCACUGUCUCUUUUUUUAAAUUAUACUUUAAGUUCUGGGAUACAUGUACAGAAUGUGCAGGUGUGUUACAAAGGUAUACAUGUGCCAUGGUGGUUUGCUGUAGCCAUCAACAUGUAAUCUACAUUAGGUAUUUCUCCUAAUACUAUGCCUCCCCUAGCCCCCCACACCCCGACAGGCCCCAGUGUGUGAUGUUCCCCUCCCUUUGUUCAAGUGAUCUCAUUGUUCAACUCCCACUUACAGUGAGAACAUGCAGUGUUUGGUUUUCUGUUCCUGUGUUAGUUAGUUACUGAGACUGAUGGUUUCCAGCUUCAUCCAUGUCCCUGCAAAGGACAUGAACCCAUCCUUUUUAUGGCUGCAUAGUAUUCCAUGGCAUAUAUGUGCCACAUUUUCUUUAUCCAGUCUAUCAUUGAUGGGCAUUUGGGUUGGUUCCAAGUCUUUGCUAUUGUGAACAGUGCCACAAUAAACAUACGUGUGCAUGUGUCUUUAUAGUAGAAUUAUUUAUAAUCCAUUGGGUAUAUACCUAGUAAUGAGACUGCUUGGUGAAAUGGUAUUUCUGGUUCUAGAUCCUUGAGGAAUCACCACACUGUCUUCCACAGUGGUUGAACUAAUUUACACUCUACCAACAAUGUAAAAGCAUUCCGAUUUCUCCACAUCCUCUCCAGCAUCUAUUGUUUCUUGACUUUUUAAUGACUGCCAUUCUAACUGAUGUGAGAUGGUAUCUCACUGUGGUUUUGAUUUGCAUUUCUCUAAUGACCAGUGAUGAUGAGCAUUUUUUCAUAUGUUUGUUGGCUGCAUAAAUGUCUUCUUUUGAGAAGUGUCUGUUCAUAUCCUUUUCUAAAUAUACAGUCAUGUCAUCUGCAAACAGAGACAAUUUGACUUCCUCUUUUCCUAAUUGAAUACCCUUUAUUUCUUUCUCUUGCCUAAUUGCCCUGGCCAGAACUUCCAAUACUAUGUUGAAUAGGAGUGGUGAGAGAGGGCAUGCUUGUCUUGUGCCAGUUUUCAAAGGGAAUGCUUGCAACUUUUGCCCAUUCUGUAUUAUAUUGGCUGUGGGUUUGUCAUAAAUAGCUCUUAUUAUUUUGAGAUAUGUUCUAUCAAUACCUAGUUUUCUUGAGAGUUUUUAGCAUGAAGCACUGUUAAAUUUUAUCAAAGACCUUUUGUGCAUCUAUUAAGAUAUUCAAGUGGUUUUUGUCAUUGGUUCUGUUUAAGUGAUAUAUUGCAUUUAUUGAUUUGCAUAUGUUGAACCAGCUUGCAUCCCAGGGAUGAAGCCAACUUGGUCGUGGUGGAUAAGCUUUUUGAUGCGCUACUGGAUUCAGUUUGCCAGUAUUUUAUUGAGGAUAUUGGUCUGAAAUUUUCUUUUUUUGUUGUGUCUCUGCCAGGUUUUGGUAUCAGGAUGAUGCUGGCCUCAUAAAAUCAGUUAAGGAGGAUUCCCUCUUUUUCUAUUGUUUGGAAUAGUUUUAGAAGGAAUGGUACCAGGUCCUCUUUGUAUCUCUGGUAGAAUUCGGCUGUGAAUUCAUCUGGUCCUGGACUUUUUUGGUUGGUAGGCUAUUAAUAGUUGCCUCAACUUCAGAACUUGUUAUUGGUCUAUUCAGGGAUUCAACUUAUUCCUGAUUUGGUCUUGGGAGGGUAUAUGUGUCCAGGAACUUAUCCAUUUCUUCUAGAGUUUUUAAUUUAUUUGCAUAGAGGUCUUUAUAGUACUCUCUGAUGGUAGUUUCUAUUUCUGUGGGACUGGUGGUGGUAUCCCCUUUAUCAUUUUUUAUUGCAUCUAUUUGAUUCUUCUCUCUUUUCUUCUUUAUUAGUCUUGCUAGUGGUCUAUCAAUUUUGUUGAUCUUUUCAAAAAACCAGCUCCUGGAUUCAUUGAUUUUUUUGAAGGGUUUUUCAUGUCUCUAUCUCUUUCAGUUCUGCUCUGAUCUUAGUUAUUUCUUGCCUUCUGCUAGCUUUUAAUUUGUUUGCUCUUGCUUCUCUAGUUCUUUUAAUUGUGAUGUUAGGGUGUUGAUUUUAGAUCUUUCUUGUUUUCUCUUGUGGGCAUUUAGUGCUGUAAAUUUCCCCCUACACACUGCUUUAAAUGUGUCCCAGAGAUUCUGGUACAUUGUGUCUUUUUUCUCAUUGGUUUCAAAGAACAUCUUUAUUUCUGCCUUUAUUUCGUUGUUUACCCAUUAGUCAUUCAGGAGCAGGUUGUUCAGUUUCCAUGUAGUUGUGUGGUUUUGAGUGAGUUUCUCAAUCCUGAGUUCUAAUUUGAUUGCACUGUGGUCUGAGAGACUGUUAGGAUUUCCAUUCUUUUGCAUUUGAUGAGGAGUGUUUUACUUCUAAUUAUGUAGUCCAUUUUAGAAUGAGUGCAAUGUAGUGCUGAGAAGAAUGUAUAUUCUGUUGAUUUGGGGUGGAGAGUUCUGUAGACGUCUAUUAGUUUCACUUGGUCCAAAGCUGAGUUCAAGUCCUGGAUAUUCUGCUAAUUUUCUGUCUCGUUGAUCUUAUAUUGACAGUGGGGUGUUAACUCCCCACUACUAACACUAUUAUUGUGUUGGAGUCUAAGUCUCUUUGUAGGCCUCUAAGAACUUGCUUUAUGAAUCUGGGUGCUCCUGCUUUGGGUGCAUAUAUAUUUAGGAGAGUUAGCUUUUCUUGUUUUGUUGAUCCCUUUACCAUUAUGUAAUGGCCUUCUUUGUCUCUUUUGAUCUUUGUUGGUUUAGAGUCUUUUUUUAUCAGAGACUAGGAUUGAAACCCCUGAUUUUUUUUGCUGUCCAUUUGCUUGGUAAAUAUUUCUCCAUCCCUUUGUUUUGAGCCUAUGUGUGUCUUCACAUGUGAGGCGGAUCUCCUGAAUACAGCACACCAAUGGGUCUUGACUCUUUAUCCAAUUUGCCAGUCAGUGUCUUUUAAUUGCUACAUUUAGCCCAUUUACAUUCAAGAUUAACAUUCUUAUGUGUAAAUCUGAUCUUGCCAUUAUGAUGCUAGCUGGUUACUUUGGCCAUUAGUUGAUGCAGUUUCUUCAUAGCGUCAAUGGUCUUUACAAUUUGGUAUGUUUUUGCAGUGGCUGGUACCAGUUGCUCCUUUCCGUGUUUAGUGCUUCUUUCAGGAGGUCUUGUAAGGCAGGUCUGGUGAUGACAAGAUCUCUCAGCAUUUGCUUGUCUGUAAAGGAUUUUAUUUCUCUUUCACUUAUGAAGCUUAGUUUGGCUGGAUAUGAAAUUCUGGGUUGAAAAUUCUUUUCUUUAAGAAUGUUGAAUAUUGGCCUCCACUCUCUUCUGGCUUGUAAGGUUUCUGCAGAGAGAUUUUAGUUUGAUGGGCUUCUCUUUGUGGGUAACCUGACCUUUCUCUCUGGCUGCCCUUAACAUUUUUUCCUUCAUUUCAACCUUGGGGGAUCUGACAAUUAUGUGUUUU